UGAAGGUGUGAUAAUUGCAUGGGGAGACAUUAGGACUACAGGCGGGUGGACCGGUCAAGGCUUUUUUUAAGGGACUGAAGGUGUGAUAAUUGCAUGGGGAGACAUUAGGACUACAGGCGGGUGGACCGGUCAAGGCUUUUUUUAAGGGACUGAAGGUGUGAUAAUUGCAUGGGGAGACAUUAGGACUACAGGCGGGUGGACCGGUCAAGGCUUUUUUUAAGGGACUGAAGGUGUGAUAAUUGCAUGGGGAGACAUUAGGACUACUGGUGGGUGGACCAGUCAAGGCUUUUUUUAAGGGACUGAAGGUGUGAUAAUUGCAUGGGGAGACAUUAGGACUAGAGGCGUGUGCCCAAGUGUCUCCCACUUAAAAUGGCGUGGUGGAUGACUUUGUCCUCCCAGAGCGAAUGGCAUCUUGUGUCGAACCAGGAGCCACGCAGGGUAGCCGUGUGGU
Long non-coding RNA from Schistocerca serialis cubense, 451 nucleotides. RefSeq lists it as uncharacterized. The record is from RefSeq and is a predicted model, not a curated record. The transcript has 3 exons. NCBI's taxonomy places the organism in Eukaryota, Metazoa, Arthropoda, Insecta, Orthoptera, Acrididae.